UACACUCCUACGGGAGGCAGCAGUGGGGAAUUUUGGACAAUGGGCGAAAGCCUGAUCCAGCCAUGCCGCGUGCAGGAUGAAGGCCUUCGGGUUGUAAACUGCUUUUGUACGGAACGAAACGGCCUUUUCUAAUAAAGAGGGCUAAUGACGGUACCGUAAGAAUAAGCACCGGCUAACUACGUGCCAGCAGCCGCGGUAAUACGUAGGGUGCAAGCGUUAAUCGGAAUUACUGGGCGUAAAGCGUGCGCAGGCGGUUAUGUAAGACAGUUGUGAAAUCCCCGGGCUCAACCUGGGAACUGCAUCUGUGACUGCAUAGCUAGAGUACGGUAGAGGGGGAUGGAAUUCCGCGUGUAGCAGUGAAAUGCGUAGAUAUGCGGAGGAACACCGAUGGCGAAGGCAAUCCCCUGGACCUGUACUGACGCUCAUGCACGAAAGCGUGGGGAGCAAACAGGAUUAGAUACCCUUGUAGUCCC
This 473-nucleotide ribosomal RNA is filed under the name uncultured organism. Its description in RNAcentral is "partial 16S ribosomal RNA". It matches the Rfam family "Bacterial small subunit ribosomal RNA", at positions 332 to 797 of the family's 1533-position model. The record is from RNAcentral.